Vicia villosa (hairy vetch) is the source of this 2249-nucleotide long non-coding RNA. RefSeq lists it as uncharacterized. Lineage: Eukaryota; Viridiplantae; Streptophyta; Magnoliopsida; Fabales; Fabaceae. The transcript is spliced from 8 exons. The record is from RefSeq and is a predicted model, not a curated record.
UUUUAAUUUUAUUUGGAAAGAAAAAAGUCGCAGAUCAAAGUUUGCGUUCAGCUUCUCCCAAAAAUAAAACACACUGCGUUUUCUACCGAUCUCUCUCUCGAUUCUAGGUUUUGCUCUCUCUCGAUCUCUCUCCCGAUCUCGUUUCCCUCUCAAUUUGGAUCUCGCUUCCGAUCUCGAUUUCUCUCUCUCUUUGGAUCUCGUUCUCACUCUCGAUAACACGUUCUCGUCAAGGUUUUCUAACUUGAUUUUGAAAGUAUUGAUUUUGACAAUACUUGAUUUUGAAAGUUAUCUAACUUGAUUAAAGAAACUUUGGGGCAAAAUCUCUUCAUUUUAGGUACCUUGGACACAAGUGAGCAAGUCAAGGCCAUUGUUGUUAAUCGCUGACUUUGUCGACAGAAACCGUAAGCUUUUCUCAGGGAUCAGUGCAUUUUUCCUUAGCCUGAUAUCUUAGUAUGACAAUCCGAGGUAGAGGAGGUACGUAGACGGAGUCAAGAGAGUGGUCGCAAUCAACUUCACUCUUCACCUUUGCGAGGUGUGCAUAUUGACCGGAACAAAAGGCAAAGGUUAGGGAUGGUUGAUGCAUUAAAGCAUAAGCAUAAAUUCACUUAUGAUUUUGAAGAUCUCUAUGAUGAUAUUGAAGAUGAAGAGACGCAAUUAAUCAAGAAGAGAAAUUAUCAACGACAAUUACUCAAGCGCCAAAAAAUUGAUGCAUAUAAUGUAAAAGAAGGUAAAGGAGUGAGUUUUGAAAUUUCCAACAAUAUGGGACAAUCUAGUAGAAGAAUUAUAUACAAUCAAGGGAGAGAGCGUAAUGACCGACCAGAACCUUCUCAGUCUUGCACUAGUCCAGCACCACCACCUCCACGUGCACAAUUCUGCAGAGGUAUUUCUCUACUGCGACUUGUUUAUCAUUAAUGUCAUAAAGUUGCACCAUGACAAUACAUUCAUCAUGUAUACUUUUUCGGUGUAGUCUAAAUAUUAUUUGUUUAGUGCUAAAGUUGUUUCCAGUAGCACUAUCUAAUUUAAUAUAUCUACAUUGCUGGACCUGUCUUAGGUAUCUCUUCCACAAAACUUGAACCACAUUGGUCAAGUCACUAAGAUGUGUCUUUAAAGGGAAAAAGAAUCUUGAAAUUCUAUAAACAGUUCUCUUCUGUUUAAUUUCCAACAGUAUAUAAUAGCCAGAGCUUGAUAGAGAAUUUGAGAGCAUAUUUAACUGAGUUUUCAUCAAAUUUAACAGAGGUUAUCCCUCAAGUUUCUUGCCUUUUCUUCAGCAGAAAAUUGUUAUAUACUUGAACUUUGUCAUGUUAGAAACUAUAUUUCAUUAAAAGAUGUGUUUGUGUCCGAUGUUUGUGGUCGACACUAAGGGUCAUGGUCCCAAAGGAAUGAAGGCAGAGGUAUGGGACGGUUUGGUUGACAUUUGGUUGAAACCAGAGUGGAAGAAGAAAUCCGAUGCAAAUCGUUGUAACAGGGCUGCCUUACCUGAUGCAGUGUUGCACACAUGAGGUUCUAUUAACUUAGGUGAACAUAAGAAAAGGAUGGAACUGAAGUUAUUCAAAGUUGAUGACUUGUUAUUGUAUUCAAGUGUUUCCUUGAUCUCAGUAUUAGGAGGAGGAGUUGAAACAUACAGUUUCGUUUAGAGACGUGUAUGCUCGAGUUCUUAAGAAAAAAGAUGGAGAAUAUGUCUUUCAAGGUCGAAGUUAUUUGUUGAGUCAUAUGACACGGCUAUAGUGGAAAAGUAUGGAGAAAACUCUUCCACUCAUCCGAUGAUUGAUCCGAAAGUGUGGGUAGAAGUUUCUGGCCAGAAAAAGACAAGGCAUACAUUUAUGGAUCGUAGCUUAGAUGUUAGAAGAACUAUGUCUGCCCGAUUUGUUGAUGUCACUAGUCAUUCCAGAACCAUGGAGGAAGAUAUUAAGAAAGCUAUGGAUAAGGCAAUGACCUCUUUUGUCCAAACACAUUUGGCGCCGAUGUUGGAGCCAAUCCUUUCAUUGAUUCAAUCCAUGCCAAAAGCACCCAUGCAAAGUGAAGUACCUGAAAAAACUCAUGGAGAUACAAGGUGAAAGAAUGUUUUCCAAUCUAUUUCGAAAACCGGAGUUAAUAUGGAACCUGAGUUGUGAUUUCUGAAUUGGAAAUAAAAUAGAAUAUUAUUGUAAUGUAUAAUGUUUUAGUGUUGUUAAAUAUAUUAAAAACUUGAUUUUUGAAUAUUAUUGUGAUGUAUAUUGUUUAAGUGUUGUUAAAUAUAUUAAAAAAAUUAA